UGAAAAGUCAUGGUCCUACCUUUUAGG
This 27-nucleotide non-coding RNA is filed under the name Homo sapiens (human). Lineage: Eukaryota; Metazoa; Chordata; Mammalia; Primates; Hominidae. The record is from RNAcentral.